CACGUAGGGUGCGAGCGUUGUCCGGAAUUAUUGGGCGUAAAGAGCUCGUAGGCGGUGUGUCGCGUCGGCCGUGAAAACCUGCAGCUUAACUGUGGGCGUGCGGUCGAUACGGGCAUCACUGGAGUUCGGCAGGGGAGACUGGAAUUCCUGGUGUAGCGGUGAAAUGCGCAGAUAUCAGGAGGAACACCGGUGGCGAAGGCGGGUCUCUGGGCCGAUACUGACGCUGAGGAGCGAAGGCCAGGGGAGCAAACGGG
RNAcentral lists this ribosomal RNA (254 nucleotides) under uncultured bacterium. Its description in RNAcentral is "partial 16S ribosomal RNA". It matches the Rfam family "Bacterial small subunit ribosomal RNA", at positions 524 to 776 of the family's 1533-position model. The record is from RNAcentral.